Long non-coding RNA from Sarcophilus harrisii (Tasmanian devil), 685 nucleotides. RefSeq lists it as uncharacterized. The record is from RefSeq and is a predicted model, not a curated record. The transcript is spliced from 4 exons. NCBI's taxonomy places the organism in Eukaryota, Metazoa, Chordata, Mammalia, Dasyuromorphia, Dasyuridae.
GGCUGGGAGCUCAGAAACUGAAAGAAAACAAGCUCGCACUUCCUCUUUGGCUGCCCUGGGUCCGCCGGCCCCGGCACCACAUGAUCGCGCGCUGCCGGAGUGAUUCAUUAGGCUGCCUUUGUCAGCGAUUGGCAACCUAACCGCAGCCGCAGCGGCGGAGCAGCCGCACGUCGUCCUCCUGCUUCAGAGCCCAAAGCGGCCCCAGAGGAGCCACCCUCUGCUCCCUCUCCAUCCCCGCGUGCUGGCCGUGAGGGGAGGAAGGGGCCAGCGACAGCCGCAGCCGCAGCAGCAGCCCGGGCCAGCAGCCACCAGCAAGCCAACUCUCCCGGCCCUCUCCAUCGCGGCGCGCUGGUCAAGGGGAGGGGAGGGGGCAGCAGCGCGGGCCCCUUCUGCUCCAGAGCCCCAAGCAGCCACCCCAGAAACCAGCCUUCCUUCCCCCUGCCCUCUCCAUCACACUGCUGGUCAAGAAACAGUUCUGGCCCAGAGCCUGAGAGGAAAAUGCUUGAGGGGGAAGAAAAGAGCUUCUUUCUGCCGGAGGAUUGCCUUCUGAACUUCAAAAGUAACCCUUUUGUUGUUUGUAAAGAAAAGAAUGUAUUCACCAUCCACAACUACAAUGAGAUGCUUCCUAGGGAUUGGAGAAUCAAAGGUACUUCUGGAGAGAGAAAUGGCAAACUACUCCAAUAUC